This 230-nucleotide ribosomal RNA is filed under the name uncultured microorganism. RNAcentral's name for it is "partial 16S ribosomal RNA". It matches the Rfam family "Bacterial small subunit ribosomal RNA", at positions 524 to 753 of the family's 1533-position model. The record is from RNAcentral.
UACGAAGGGGGCUAGCGUUGUUCGGAAUUACUGGGCGUAAAGCGCACGUAGGCGGACUUUUAAGUCAGGUGUGAAAUCCCGGGGCUCAACCUCGGAACUGCAUUUGAAACUGGAAGUCUUGAGAUCAGGAGAGGUUAGCGGAAUACCGAGUGUAGAGGUGAAAUUCGUAGAUAUUCGGUGGAACACCAGUGGCGAAGGCGGCUAACUGGACUGAUACUGACGCUGAGGUG